Molecule: long non-coding RNA, 1409 nt
Filed under: Homo sapiens (human)
Lineage: Eukaryota; Metazoa; Chordata; Mammalia; Primates; Hominidae
Description: HSALNT0316861
Source: RNAcentral
GUGGAAAGCAUUUUUAGGCAGAUAUUAUAAAACAUAAUUAUUGUCAAAAAGUUCAUUUAUAAAAUUUUGAUUCCACUCACAUGAAUUUAAUACAUGUGAUAACUCAGAAGACAGCUGUUUUAUUCAAUCAACAAUUUUAAACUGGUUUUAUCUAACAAAUAUUUCCCAAAGUCACAUGAACUUAAAAAAAAUUGGGGUUAAUUCCUAUAUUUCUGAGAGCUUUAUAAAUAUUUAAUUGAUAUAAGCAAUUUGUCCCUAAGCCUGUCAGAAUAGAGCUUCUUUAUAGGGUUUUAUAAAUUAAUUGGGUAAUACCAUCAGAAGAUAGGAAAGUAUCACAUAUACAUAACAUACAUAUGUACAUACAUAAACAUACAGAUAGAUGCAAAUGGAGACCUUAUAGCUUCCAUUUUAAAAUUGUAGCCAUGAGUCAGGUAAACACAGUAAUACAGAACUCUGGUUUAUAUGAAAUGGUUGGCUCUCGUCUUUACUGCACUUUAAUUUUUUUAUCCAAAUUGUGUUUUUGGUGAAUGGAACAAGUUGCUACCUGACCAAUGUGAGAGCAAAAAUAUUUUUUACCAAUAUUAUGGAGGACAUUUUUAAGAUAUUGUAGUUGCUUUUGGAGGCUCUUGAGUCCCAUAGAGUCUCCAACGGGGCUCCAGUGAGUGUAGGUAGUUGAGAGCCUGGAGUGGGAAGGGAAAAGUCUGGCAGGGCUGAACAAAAAUGUGGAGGAGGUGGGGGUUUAAAGGAGGGCAUAUCAAAAAUGGAAGGAGGAAUGGAGGCAAAAGGAAGAGAGAGAUCUUAGAGAUGCCACUUUAGGGAAGUCCCAAAUUAUCCUUUGUAAGAUCAUAUCAACAAGAAGGGAAGCAGACAGAGUUAGUGCCUAGGUGGUGGAGCACAUAGUCAGCAGGGGUUUCAGAAGGAGGUUGGGGUGAGGUUCAGUCAACUGAGAAGCUGCCAUGUUCAUAACUCAUGAUACCUCACAAACAAUGGAGCCUGGCACUCUAAUCCCAACUCUAUGUCUUAAAACAGGAAAGCCUGGGAAUCUAACUCAGCCUCUUUCUUACAGAGAAACCUGAGAUUCCAACCCAGCCUUUUGUUUGCCUGGGAUUAUAGCCCAGUUCUUACAAGCAGAGAAGCCUAGGACACUAACCCAGCUUCAAGAGUAUACUCAGAAUCUCAAGAAUCACAAUCUGUGCUGCCCAUUCUUCAACAGACUGUCAUCUGGAGGCCUGGAUUGGAUCAGGAGUCGGGCUCACCAAUGGAGCCCCAAUCAGUCAGUCAGGAGUGAAGAUGAAAGCUUCAAAGAGUGCCCUUCUCCCACCUCUACCUUCCCCAACCAUAACCUCCUUCAAGAACCGGUUCAGAUAAAGCCUACUCAGGUAACACCCCUAUAGCCCCAGCUCUCUCCG